This 255-nucleotide ribosomal RNA is filed under the name uncultured bacterium. RNAcentral's name for it is "partial 16S ribosomal RNA". It matches the Rfam family "Bacterial small subunit ribosomal RNA", at positions 129 to 384 of the family's 1533-position model. The record is from RNAcentral.
CCCUGUACACACGGAUAACAUACCGAAAGGUAUGCUAAUACGAGAUAAUAUGCUUUUAUCGCAUGGUAGAAGUAUCAAAGCUCUGGCGGUACAGGAUGGACCCGCGUCUGAUUAGCUAGUUGGUGAGGUAACGGCUCACCAAGGCGACGAUCAGUAGCCGACCUGAGAGGGAGAUCGGCCACAUUGGAACUGAGACACGGUCCAAACUCCUAGGGGAGGCAGCAGUGGGGAAUAUUGCAAAAGGGGCGAAAGCCU